CCUACGGGAGGCAGCAGUGGGGAAUAUUGCACAAUGGGCGCAAGCCUGAUGCAGCCAUGCCGCGUGUAUGAAGAAGGCCUUCGGGUUGUAAAGUACUUUCAGCGGGGAGGAAGGGAGUAAAGUUAAUACCUUUGCUCAUUGACGUUACCCGCAGAAGAAGCACCGGCUAACUCCGUGCCAGCAGCCGCGGUAAUACGGAUGGUGCAAGCGUUAAUCGGAAUUACUGGGCGUAAAGCGCACGCAGGCGGUUUGUUAAGUCAGAUGUGAAAUCCCCGGGCUCAACCUGGGAACUGCAUCUGAUACUGGCAAGCUUGAGUCUCGUAGAGGGGGGUAGAAUUCCAGGUGUAGCGGUGAAAUGCGUAGAGAUCUGGAGGAAUACCGGUGGCGAAGGCGGCCCCCUGGACGAAGACUGACGCUCAGGUGCGAAAGCGUGGGGAGCAAACAGGAUUAGAUACCCUGGUAGUCCACGCCGUAAACGAUGUCGACUUGGAGGUUGUGCCCUUGAGGCGUGGCUUCCGGAGCUAACGCGUUAAGUCGACCGCCUGGGGAGUACGGCCGCAAGGUUAAAACUCAAAUGAAUUGACGG
Molecule: ribosomal RNA, 586 nt
Filed under: uncultured bacterium
Lineage: Bacteria
Description: bacterial SSU rRNA
Rfam family: Bacterial small subunit ribosomal RNA
Source: RNAcentral